GACGAACGCUGGCGGCGUGCUUAACACAUGCAAGUCGAACGGAAAGGCCCUGCUAUUGUGGGGUGCUCGAGUGGCGAACGGGUGAGUAACAAGUGAGUAACCUGCCCUUGACUUUGGGAUAACUUCAGGAAACUGGGGCUAAUACCGGAUAGGAGCUCCUGCUGCAUGGUGGGGGUUGGAAAGUUUCGGCGGUUGGGGAUGGACUCGCGGCUUAUCAGCUUGUUGGUGGGGUAGUGGCUUACCAAGGCUUUGACGGGUAGCCGGCCUGAGAGGGUGACCGGCCACAUUGGGACUGAGAUACGGCCCAGACUCCUACGGGAGGCAGCAGUGGGGAAUAGUGCACAAUGGGCGGAAGCCUGAUGCAGCAACGCCGCGUGCGGGAUGACGGCCUUCGGGUUGUAAACCGCUUUCGCCUGUGACGAAGCGUGAGUGACGGUAAUGGGUAAAGAAGCACCGGCUAACUACGUG
Molecule: ribosomal RNA, 468 nt
Filed under: uncultured bacterium
Lineage: Bacteria
Description: partial 16S ribosomal RNA
Rfam family: Bacterial small subunit ribosomal RNA
Source: RNAcentral